Long non-coding RNA from Falco peregrinus (peregrine falcon), 8406 nucleotides. RefSeq lists it as uncharacterized. The transcript is spliced from 4 exons. NCBI's taxonomy places the organism in Eukaryota, Metazoa, Chordata, Aves, Falconiformes, Falconidae. The record is from RefSeq and is a predicted model, not a curated record.
UGCCUCCUAUUAUGGGUUGGAAUGCCUUUUUCUACCUAUUGCCUGGCAAGUUUUUCAAGACAUGGAUGUAUCUGUGAGACAGAAAGUGAAUUCCAGCGCUCCUCGCAAUGAGGAGUUUCCAUUCAAACUCAAAGUCCCAAGUGAUUUUUUAAAGAGUUGGUAACAAUAUUCAACUGAUCAGGAAGAAUACAUAUAAUUGGUCUCUCUUCUAUUGCUAGCUUUUCUUUUCUAACCUAUCGAAAAGAAGUCAAUAGUAAAGCAGCAAGAAAUCUUCUGGAAGACUUGAUUUAGGUUCAGCAAUUAAUAUUUCAGUUCCCUCCAGCUUUCCAAACAGGGUGCAGCCUUUGAUGUGAUACUAAGCAGCUACAGAAGACUAUGGUGGGUAAUACUUUUGUUGCCAUAAAGUAAAGCCUAGCUGUAAAUCAUAUUUGAACUAGUUAAAGCUAGAGGUAGCACAGGUGUGCUGCAGAGCUACAGCAUCAUUUGCUUCAGGUGUGGGGAGGGUAAGGAAUUAACAAAAGAGGCUCUGUCUGUUACAGUAACUUCAACACAUCUUCUCUUCUUUCUUCUGGGAUCUCUCUGCUGUCCUGACUCAGGUAAGGAAGCCUGAGUAAAAGCAACAUGACUGUAUUUAGAGUACUUGCUUAAGAAAACCAAAUGUGGAUCUUGUGUGUUCUCUUCUGCAAUCAAAUUCCUACUAGGUAAUUCAGUCUCAGUGUGAAGAAUAGAGUAUCUACUGUAUGCAGUACACUGCACUUAAAAAAAAACAAAACCAACCAAACAUAACCAAUAAAUCCUGGGGAGUAAAGAGUCCAAAGUCACACCUAGGGGAUACAAAUAGAAGAGAGUCAUUUGUAUAACUUGAGUUUCCUGCUUAUUACGCAAAAUAUAGAUCUUAUUUUCAGCUUCCACUUCCUAUUGUACAUUCACGCAGGGUUUUCUUCUUCCCUGGCAAAAGAGGUUGUUUUCCAAAGACAGAAGUAGCAAAGCAGGUGGCCAUGGCUGCAGAAAUAAGAACAGGGAGCAAAGAAGAAUGCUUCUAGACUUAAAAGCCUGAUUUUUUUGUAUUUUAAAGCGCACAUCCAACUGGAACUGGAAAUAGAGUGGUUGUUAGCUCAAAUACCUGUAAUAAUACCUGAGACUUUGAGUCCGUCAUAGAGAGUGGGCUGUGAAAGCCCCACUUCAUGUGCCGAGGCAGUAUUGUCAGAAGGGCUCUAGAGCUGGCUGUGUGGGAGGACAGAGGAGGCUGAUGCUGCCAAGAUCCCCAAAUGCAUACUGUCUUCUGACUAACAGAGAUCCAGCUUCCUGGAAUCUCUUACAAGGACCAAUGUGAGAACUGACAUUUAACUACUUUACUUGAAAAGCAGUUUGAAAGGAGCUGACUAGCACUUUGAGCAGCCACAAAAUACGAUCACCCUGAGGCAGAAAGCACAAGUUCCUCCAACACAUUAAAUCUGCAGAAGGAUAAGGGCGUGUUUACAUGAAGAUAAGCAAAAUGUUAGUGUUUACAUGAAGAACAGUGAGAAAAAUGAAGAUGAGGAAAUCAGUCAAAUAAUAACCACUAUUAUUACAGGAUACCUUCAUGUACUGCAGGCAACCUGUGCACAGCGCUACUCUGACUGUCACUAACUAUACUCAAGUAAGAGGAGAUAAUACUGUGGUUGUUUAGGCUGCAAUUGAGAAGCAAGAAGUCCCGACUGCAGUGCCGAGCACAUUAGGCACUUUAUGGAUCAGAAAUAUGCUCUGCAUUAGAAUAACUGAUAAUAUUCCACAAAAUGAAAGGAGCUGGAAAUGUUCUGGAGCAUAUGGCAAUUUCUGCUAUUCUGUGUCUCUGUUGUAUUUGCUCUAGGACCAUACUGGUUGUGAGCAGCCUCUUACAAGGUGUUUUGUUCUCUCUUUUAAAUCUUUUAAUCAUGGUUGCUCUCAGAUAUGACACUUCAUUUAGUACGUCAAUGACCUGACCUUCCACGGCAACCCCUGUAUUCUGAUACUACGAGAAUGGUGAAUUUUUUUAUCUUAUAAUCAUCCUCCAAAUAGAUCUGUUAUUUAGCCUAGAUAAAUCAAUCUUCUUCAAGUAUCAGGCUAGUGUGUAUUCCUCUAAUUCUGUGAAAGACUGAUGGAAAACAAGUUUGUCUGAUACAAAACGUAUUUUCUGUAGAAAUGCCAACAUCCUUCCUUUCAUACAUUUCUGUUCUUGACAGUGUUCCUUGGGAUUUUGUUGUUAUUAAUAUAUGAAUAUCGCUUUCAUAUUAAGCUGCCUCAUAAGCAGUAUCUAUCCCAGUGCUGCAGAUCUGCUUCUGUUUCAUGGGUGUUUGAAUGUUAUUUUCCACAGUAUACUCUCUAAAUUUUUUCUUGGCUCCACGAAUUUUCCUUUCUGAGUGAGUGAUCCACAUCUUACUGUAGCAAACCAAACCAGCUCAUGUUCUUUCAUUCCCAGUUAGUUCCCCUCUUGUUUACAAAGAUUGGAUCUGGAAGUCCCAGAGUCAAAAACAUGAACUACUUAUUGAAAAGAGGGCUGAUUUUCUAAUCUGGUAUAUGUAGUUAUUUGUGCUUAAAUAAGAUCGGGUUUAGUUCCAGAAAGUGGCUGCCAUAGAGGUUUCUGGAAGGAAUUCCCUUCUUGAAAGACAUGUGGAAUAUUGCACGUGAGCAAAUAUCUCGCUGGGACGCAGGCUCCUUCUCAUGUGUAAAUAUUGGUUCACGCCAGAAUUGCCACUCUAGGUUCAAAGAAAUAAGUUUUAUUAUUAUAACAUGGUAAUUUCCAGUUACUGGUUGCUGUCUUUUCUUGACUGAAGUCAGCAUUGAUCUGGUAGCAUGCCUACUGUCAGUACAGAAAAAUACCAUACGAGUCUUUUACCCCCUUAUUCUAGGUUUCUCAAUUAUACCACUCAGUGACACAAAGCCACAGUUACCUGGCUGUGUCUCAAAUGCAUUAAAUCCCAUGUAACCAGCCCCACAACAAAACCUCAAAUACUUGGCUCUGAUGGAUGGUGUUAUAAUGAGGGUGGAGCUCAGUUCAGUAGCCAAUUUAAUGCAUCUUAAUGUUCUAACAUGCUUUCGUUUCAUAUCUAGGACAAUAAAUGCUGCAGUAAAGUUUUGUUUAAAGCACGUCUGUUUUGCAAAAUGAAUCUUGCAUAUGGAACAAAACACUCAUUGUCGCUUUACUGUUUAAACCUUUAUUAUCACGGGUUUUUUUCCCUGGUACAAUGGGCUUUUAUGCACCAAACAGCUGUGUUCAUCAUGUUUAUUUAGAAGGCGUCCAUUGUAGUGGAAAAAGUCUGGAGGACAAAAAUCUUGGUGAAGUGCAAGACUACUCUGUGGGUGCUGGCACCUUCUUUUUUUUUUUUCUGUCCAGUUCCUUUGGUCAGCAUGCAAGUCACAUACACAGGCACUGCCAUGCAGACUUGCAAACCCUGUAUAAUAGCAACUUUUCACAAGUGCUGUCUCUUAUUCCAAGCGCUCUCCUCCAGAAAGUUUCAAUUGCAAGGCAACAUACAGGACGUGUGACCACUUUACACCCUAUGAUCCCAUCAUUUCUCAAUCUGUUGCUAUUUUGGCCCCUCAUUAGGUCACUUUCCAAAUAUUGUGUGCAGCUAUGUGUCAAUCAUUGUCACAGCUCUGCUCUAGGCUAAGCCAACCCAGGACAAAACUGGGAGGGGGAAAAAAAAAGCCAACCAAACCAAGCACUGUGUAGAAAACAGUCAACGGUUUAACUGUGGAAAGCUAUGUGUUGUUCCAAAGAUAGCAUAAGCCCGCUUGAUGCAAAAACAGCUUACAGUACUAAUGGUCCCCAAAAUAAUUUUAUGCAGCUGAAAUACGUAGUGUAUAGCCAAUGGCAUCUGCAAAUAAACAGAUGUUAGAAUCCCAAGAAUUAAGAGCAUGACAUUGUAGGAAACUCUUGGUUCACUCCUGCCAAAAAAGCAGUUGAGUUUCCAGUUUCUGGAAAGAACGGAGCACCCAACAUACUGACAGAACUUUUUUUGAGCAACAGUAUCUCUAAUACCUUCUCAACCCUUGAAUGAAAGCUGCUGUACAAGCAGGCAGUGUUAGCCUGGGGAACUGAAGGGUUCCCUACCUUCUUUGGGGUACAUCCCUCAGGACAAAUGCAUUCCCACGCCAUCUGAGAUAGCUGUGCCCCCUUCCCUCUUUUCAGGUUACCCUGUGUUAACACAUAGUUUCAGGUAAAGACUGGAAACACUAAGUGUCUCUCUCAGCCACAUAGUCAAUGCCAUUGUUAUAACAGGCUGGAAAAUGAACUGGAACAAACUAACAUGCUUGGUCUUUUAAAAAUACUAAAAUAUCUGUGUAGAAUGAAAUGGCUCCUUAUUUCUGGAACAGUGGAUGCUCUAGGUUUUCUAGAGUGAGCAUUCUCACUUCUUGUCAUUCAUGUGUCUUGGGAAACUGUAAUGAGGUUAAAAAGACCAGAAUGAAGUUGCAUCCGUACAGUUCACGGAUGCUGGGAAUCCAUGCAGAAACACAGCGAAGGUGACUGCUGGGAUCUGAAAGCAGCGUGGCCGGGGUGGGGGGGGGAGGCUGCGAAGGGGCUGACUGCGUGGAGCUGGGGCUGCAGCAGGGGCCUGGGGAAGGCCUGGCAUACUGGGGAAAUGGUUUUCCAGAAGAAAGGACAGAAGCCUGGGGGGGGCGGGGGGGGGGAAGGGAAUGGAUGGAGAGAAACGUAAGCCAAGUGGAAAGGGAGAGAGUGUGACAAAAGGAUUAGCCCCUGCUUGCAGACAGUGUGUAGCAGAAGCAGAAAAUGAACUCGGGGGGGACGGACAGAAGACCGGGGGGCGGGGGGGGGGAACGACACGGACACAGACACAACGGACUUUAAGGAGAAGAAAACUGUUUCUCAGGGACCUUUUCAAAGACUUCCUGAAUGCAACCUCCAUUUACUUCUUUCUUCCUUUUUCUCCCAAGAAGAAAAAAAGGAUCCGCUGUGAGCAGAAUGUAUGGCUGACUAACAAACACAGACCUGAACAGAGUCCCAGUCUGGAGGGAGACCAUUGCAGGCCGAACUCCUGGAGCCUUCUCGCUACCUGGGCACCACGAAGCUUGUAAGCCAAGCAGGAAGGGGCAAAAUCUACAAUUUGUAAUCAACAGUUCUGAGUUCCCUUGGCAUUUGUUUGCCCGUUGUGAACUAGUUUCAGAAGAGAAUUGGUUGUGAUUAAGACUGCUGCUGGAAUCUCCAUGUAAAUGCAGGUCCCAGUGAAAGGAGGGAAGGGGCCCGGGGUGAUUCAGGUAAUACUGCUUUUCUAUUUUUACUUUUAUUUUUAAAAAGACUCACUGUGGUAUGUCAAGCUGGAAAAACCCAGAAGUUUAGGAGUUGCUUCAUGAGCACCAAAGUCUUAACUACCAUAAAAACGCAAUUCCUUUGAGAAGGGAGGAGCCCCUGUCACACAGAUGUGACUGUAACCUCAUGGUUUUGUCUUCGUGCUACUACUAGUAAGCCACCAUACCUCUAGACAAGUAAGCAAGACCGCUCCUCAGUUUUUGGUUACUUAAUAUUUCCAUGGAACUCUGCUAGCUGUUGUAAAGAGCUUACUUUUGUGUAGGAAGUAUAAAUGUUCUUUCAGCUAAUUUUUUGUCUUCCUUCAAUGCACUGAGAUGCUGAGUCCAAGAUAAUCCGGAACUUGAUUCAUAUCAUCAUCGGAUUAGCUGUUGAAAUCGUCCAAUCAAGUCAGAAGGAUACUGGCCACUUCCCAUAGAAGAAAUUCUGCUGUAAAUCAAAUGUCCUUCAACUGAAAAUGCAAAGAGGAAAUACUCCGCAGAACUACUGACCCGAUCUGAAAACUCUCUGUGAUACUGCUGAGUGUCAGGCUGCCCAAGUUGCUUCUCUCUCCAUUUCCUGGAGACAGCGUGAACAGAAAAGAUAAGUAUCUGUGUUUAUGUCAUAUUAAGCUCCACCCAGAAACUUUGUGGGGCUGGGAAGUAAUACAUCAUGAUGAAGCAGAGUUCAAAAUGGCAUUGCAAACUGUCACAGUUGACACACAAGAGAUAAAUGACUGAUCUAGAACCUCUUGAAAUGGGUCUCCCAGUCACCUGAUUGAAUUGCAUUCAGGAGUACUUAAAAUUGCUAGCAAAUACUUAUCUGUUUUCCCAUAUUGGAAGCUUAAGCUCUGCAGGUGUAUGUGGGGUGUGCAUGCCAGGGCCAGCUUGGUCUGUUUCUGUGAGCUCCUUUCCUGUUCUUUAACUCUAUUACUAAGAAUUAGAUGUUAAUUGCAGUUCAGAAUUCAGUUUUGCACAAGAUACAACCCAAAGCAGAAGAUCUACACAAACUGUAGAAAAUCUGAACUGCAAAGGGCCGAACUAGUGACUUCUAUGACUGUGUGCUGCAAGGUGUCAGCCCACCAAAGUAAGCCAGGUUAUGUCCACCAAGCAGCAAAACACAAAGCUAUCCAAUUGUAACACUUAUAAAGGAGUUUAAUGACAAGUUUCUGUUAAUACAAAAUGGAAACUAAAGCGCAUUUGUUACUCCUUGAUGAAACUGUUCGUUUCAAGACUAUAUUCCGCUGUGUGUGAAGGGUAAUGGUUUAGAUACAAAUGCACACUCAACACUCCAUAACUUGUAUAGCCUGGAGCGUAGAAUUAGCUCUUACCUUAAUCUGAAUGAAUUUAGGAACAGUGUAAGGUGUUUGGAUCGACAGCCCCACAGAUCAAAGCUCACAGCAUGAUUGUUUUGGGAAAAAUACGAAAUACGUGCAAGAAAAUUGUUUCAGCAAAACUCCAGUGUAGUAAAGACCUAUUCAUGUCUAAGGUAGAUGCUGUUUGAUAACACAGUCUGUACAGUCUGUCACAAAUUCUGGUUCAGUUUAUGAAAUGGCUGUAUUGUUGCAUUCUUCAGCGUACAUCAAGCCAUAGGUGCUAUCACCUGUAUUUCCAGACUAGGGGCCAUGCAGAGUCAUUAGACAUUGCUGUCUCCCAUCGCAACACGAAUGCACUGGGAAAAUGAAGCUGGACUGGAGAAAUCAGUCCUGCUAAGCUUGAGUCCAAGCAAUGGAUUUUAAGCAGUAGAAUUUUCUCAGGACUGUAACAUAGAUUGAGGGUAAUGCUACCUCUUAGAUACCAGCAGGCCUGGUAUGAUAUGCUAGGGGGUACAAAGAACCUGGAAAGGAACAAGCAGGGGAGACAAAUACAAGUACAUAAUCUUGUCUUGCAAGGAUCUGGUUUAACUGAAGGCUCAGUUACGAAGAAGGAAAACAGGUACAUAGAAGAAUUGCAAACGGCAUGAUUUGGAAACCACAUGCGACAGAAGUAUGUAUAAAACCUAAGGAAUACUCAGGAGUAGUAACAAAACUGAGGAAGGAAAAUGAAUGCCUUUUGUUGGCUAAAACAGAGUGAAAGCAUUUGGCAAACUGUCUUUUCAAAAUCUCCAUCAACUAACAGGACCAUAAAGAAGUGAACUACAACCCAGAAUGACUGUGAGAGAACUCCCUUUCUCGUAAGGGAGAGCCGGCAAACAAUGCCUGUCGGUUCCGCAGGGCUCAAAGUCAACAUAGGCUGUGUGUACGUGCAUCUUCAGAGGGUCAGAACCUGAUCAGGUUCAUGCAGGAAGCCUAUGGGGUAACCCGGACCACUCGGGGUCUAGCCCAGUCUCCCUAGACUUCGGGAGUCCUCCCAAAAAUGUACCAUGGCCUGGCUGCUACUCUAGGGUUUCUAGGUUGCCUGAAAGACAGUGUUAAAAUACUUGCAGAGACCUUUUUUUUUUUGUAGUUUCUGCUUGCUUUUAGCAUGUGAAUUCUCACGUAUUUUAUCUGUGAGUUUUCACCAGUGGAAUAUUUUAGUGAUGGAAAUGAAAUGCUGAAAAAUGGAUAUGGAAGAAGGAAGAAGACAGCACCUGUGAAAUCAGGGGUGUGGUGGUUGUACUGAAUUAACUUACUAGUUUCCAUCACUUGGUGCUGGUUUGUGUGCUGUUAUGGCACAAAUCCACUUGGCAAAGUCUGAGGUUGGAACUGAAGUUUGGAAGGGGCACUAGGAAAAUGCAGUGCUUGCAGGAAAUGCUGCUGUGAUUUUGUGGGUUCUCCCACAUAGGCUUCUCUGGUUUAGGUCCAGAGUCAACACCGGCAGAGUGUCAGAAGGCAGUACAACCAUGCUCGAGACGAUAUGCAAACUCUCACCUAUCCCGGCACCAAGGAUUCUAGGCCUCAUUUGCUGCUGCCUUAUCCCGGCUGCGACGUCACUGUCUGUAGCCAUUUGGUUCGAGAUCCUAUUACAGAAUGACAGUUGUUAGUAUGAGUAAAAGUGAACUUCUGUCCAAAGUGCAAGGUACACGAGGUUUAGGGGUUCUACUCUGGCCAAGUACCAGUUUAAAUACUAAAACCUUGAAGACUAGAAAAAAAUGAGAUAUUAAAACUUGCUGGUAGGUUUCCUGUAAAUUUAGCUGGAGAAAAUAAUAUCCUUGUUUUCCUCUCU